UACAGAGGGGGCAAGCGUUGUUCGGAAUUACUGGGCGUAAAGCGUGCGCAGGCGGCUUUGCAAGUCAGAUGUGAAAUCCCCGGGCUUAACCUGGGAACUGCAUUUGUGACUGCAUGGCUGGAGUGCGGCAGAGGGGGAUGGAAUUCCGCGUGUAGCAGUGAAAUGCGUAGAUAUGCGGGGGAACACCGAUGGCGAAGGCAAUCCCCUGGGCCUGCACUGACGCUCAUGCACGAAAGCGUGGGGAGCAAACAGG
Molecule: ribosomal RNA, 253 nt
Filed under: uncultured bacterium
Lineage: Bacteria
Description: partial 16S ribosomal RNA
Rfam family: Bacterial small subunit ribosomal RNA
Source: RNAcentral